AUUGGCACUCUUUUUCUUUUUGAAAAAUAAAAGAAUUUAAAAAGAAAAAGAAGUGCUAAUCC
This 62-nucleotide microRNA precursor is filed under the name Pristionchus pacificus. RNAcentral describes it as "microRNA ppc-mir-8276 precursor". The record is from miRBase by way of RNAcentral. Lineage: Eukaryota; Metazoa; Nematoda; Chromadorea; Rhabditida; Neodiplogasteridae.